CUAUACCUCUCAACUAAUGGCAUUUUGCAUAAAAGCCCCUCCACUUUAUUUCUCUCAACCCAGGCUGCCUGGGCAAAUUUCGCGUGGAGGGACCGGUCUCUCCCUGCCUGGGACCGGUCCCUUGGGACCUUCCCUAGUUUACGCGUUCGGGAACCGGUCCCUCAGGCCCAGGGACCAGUUGCAUCGUGCGCUGCUGCAACCCUCAGUUCGGGGACUGGUCACUCCCUGCCAGGGAUCGGUCCCCAAGAGCAAAAUCUGUCAGGUGCAG
RNAcentral lists this long non-coding RNA (268 nucleotides) under Ananas comosus (pineapple). RNAcentral describes it as "long non-coding RNA (ACOM_LNC042212)". Lineage: Eukaryota; Viridiplantae; Streptophyta; Magnoliopsida; Poales; Bromeliaceae. The record is from RNAcentral.